GCAGCUGGGCACCAGGUGAGAUUCAUCUCCCUACACCUUAAUUUAGAGGUGAAAUUCAGCUGCAGACAUCUCAGAGGCCAAUGUCAGCUUUAAAAACCUAGGGAGUCCUUGAUCUUUGGCUGCUGUUCCAGGAGGAUGUGAUCCUCAGGGGGUGCUGAGCUUCUUCCACUGGCUCUGUGUGGACAUCUCGGACACUUGGAAGUUGGGUCUGGGUCACUGAGACUUGCCUUAAAGAUCUCAUCUGUGCCCUCAAAGCAAUGGAGAGCUUCCAGCUGAACUUGUAGGUGUCCUCUUUGGCACGGGCUGAAGAUCUUCAUAGUCUGAAAUAUCCCUGGAGGUACAACGAGGAGGAAUUUGCUCUUCUCUGCUGCACUGCCUAGGGAUGUGCUUGCUCCUAAGGCAGCAGAAAUUGAGCACGGAACCUGGAGAUCCCUCCCUGGUGUUAUGUGGCACAUGGAGAGCCACCACGAGGCUCGUAGGCUUCCAGAGCAAGGUGGAGCAACGCUGGCACGGAGAGGUGCACCGGGCUCGGGGAGGCUGCUGGGGUUACCAGCGUGCUUGUGAACACGGGGCUGAAGGUCAGCCUUGGUCAGAGAGCUGCUCCCAGCUCUUUAUGCAUUGUCUACAAAGCAAAUGCCUUGUUCAAACACGCUCCUCCAUGGGCAAACAGGAAAAGAAAGGCAACAACAUCAUGCUGCGUGGGUCUGGGAGCGGAGAGCUGCGACGGCUGCGCGGAGCUGGGCUGGGAGGGCAGGCGGAAAACAAGGGCAGACCUGCAGUGGUGGCAAUAGCUACGUGAUCUUUUAUCUCUGUGUGCCAUCCCUCCUUCCUCGUACAGCUGCAAAACCCCUUGUUUCUACACCAAGAGCCUGAGGAGCGUCCUCUCCUGCAGGACUCUGUGAAGCAGGGGCGCGCUGGAGCCAGCUCCGAUUGCCAGGUGGAUGAGCUGAGAGAGGGGAGGGUGGUGGCAAAAACCCAUUUCUGAAGCCCUGGUGGGGCUGUGAGCAGAGCCUGACACUUCUUCAGCCACGUGAGCCUUUUUGUGGGUCUGGGAUACAGCGAGCUGUAAGCAAUGCCCUGGCUGAGGACGGCUGAGCAUGGCUUAACGAUGUCAGCCAGAUAAUUAGGCAGAAAAGGCAGAAUGGUGAGCCAGGAAGGACAGAGGUGAUAAGGUUCCCCUGGAGCAGGGACUGGUCCUGGGGGCACCCAGAUGUACCCAGGCAGUAUGAAAGGGGUCACCCUUCCCAGGCUUGUGCUUCGUGCGGGGCUUUGGACCACCCUGAGUGACAAGGGACAAAAAAAAUUGAGAUGAGCACUCCCCAAACUGAUGAAAACCAAACAAUUCUCUCACUGCUCUUGGGAAGUUGAUGUCUGUGCUAUGAGGACCCUGAAUCCUGCUUUCUCAUCUAAAUGUGGGGUUCUUUCACCCAUCUGUAGAUCCCUGGUGUCUUUCUAGAGCUGAAGGACAUGAGCAGACUGGGUCUCCUCCCGGUGACUUCUUGCUGGGGCACGGGUACUGCAGUCCCCUCUCACCCCUUCACCCCUUGCCUUCUUCUUUAAGAAGCCACCUGGCUCUGCAAAUAAAAAACACGAGGGGAUUGAGGACAGACACCACGGAGUGCUGGGGGACAGAGAGAAGGGAGCUGUGUCCCCAUGUCUGCCUUCUCAGGGCAGUCCCUUGAUCAUCGGUCUCUCCACCAGGUCGCAGUGCUGAAAUGGAUUUCCAAUGAACAGAUAGACACUGGGCAAAAAUUAUAGAGGUGGGAGAUACCUGAUGGAAGAGGCGAUAUCUUUGUAGGCACCGCAGUCUGGCUCUGGACCUCCAUCCUCAAGGAUGUCUUGAGACCUUAAACCCAGAGACAUUGAGGAUCAGGAAGCAUCAAGCCAUGGAAAAUGUCUUAAAGUUCAACCUUUUGAACAAAAGGUAGUGCAAAAAGGUGACCGUCAGGACUUGGCUCCCAGGAGCAUCCUUCAUGGGAGAUGGCAGCAGGACUGUCUGGUGACAGUCGGGUGACAUCCCCGAGCCCAGCAGCAGUUAGCUCAUCCCCUCAGCACCCCAGAAAGGUUUUCAGAGGAUCCUGAAGGACCUGAGUGUGUCCGUAAGAGGAAAGUUUGGGCAGAGCAGGGUGCGUGUGAAGUGCCUCUCCCAAAAUGAUGCCCCUCUUCCAAAGAGGGCCUCUGAAAGGCUGCCCGUGGGUGGUUACCUGGAGGCUGGCGAUGGGGCUGAGAUCUCAAACCAGAAGUCCACGAGCACAUCACCUUCUGCCUGUCUCAUGGGGAUCACCUCCUCUUUCACCUGGCCCCGACGGCGUUUCCUUCACCCUCCCCUCCCUGCCCGCUGCUCCCCGGGACCUCAACCUCUGCGAGGGGGCAGAGGUGGGGAAAGUCCCCCCGUGGCCAAAGUCCCCUCGGUUUUUUCAGGGCACAGACCAUGGUGUGAAAGCUUCCCCCACGGCCCCGAGGGGCUCUCCAGCCCGCCCGCGGCUGGGCGAGCACACGGGGAAGCCGGGGAGAGGAACAGUAGCUUUUUCUCUUCCCGGCGACGCCGACGUGGUGAUCAGAGGAGCUGGCCAGAGUCCUAAUGAAGAUAAAUGAAUAUCCCCUCUCCUCCGCUCCUCCGGCUUUUAUUGAUGGGCUGCGGGGUGAAAGGCGAGAGCCUGAAUGUUCAUUUAAGCAGACGUCACGAGUUUCUUUGGAGGGGAAGGUGUAAGAAAAACCGCCUUGUGCUUGAAAGUUACUCCAAGAUGAGCACGCUCGGCUUUACAAGCCUUUCUCCAUUCCUUCCCCAUCCAUCACUUCCCGGGAGCCCUUUGUAAAUGCAAAUUGCACUUUGAUAGAAAUAAUGCACUGAGCCUCUAUUAGUGUCUGUGUAAUGGAGAGGGCUAUUUUAAUGCAAUCAUUCUUCGGGGAAGCUCCUCUGUGCCUUAUUUUAGGCUGUGUAUCAAAAACCAAUCUGAAAACCCGCUCCUCCCCUGCUCCCUCCCGGCUCUGCCCUUCGCAGGCGCUGGGAGACUUUUCAUUUGGGGCUGGGGAUUCGUGGGGCAGCCGGGGCGUUGUGCCAUGUGGAUGAGAGCUCGGGUGGACAGCCCAGCCCCAGGACACGGCUGGGACACCGGGACCCCAGGCUGGUGGCAGGGAUGGUGGCGAUGGGACAACCUGCAUCCCGCACCCCGUGUGGGAUGGGGAGAACCAGCUCAAAUUUUAGGGGUAGGAUCCGUCUCAUCCCCCAGGAGCUGCCUUAUCCCCAGCACUCGUGGUGGGAUGAGGAUGAUUUGGGUGAUUUGCAGAGCAGCCCCUGCCACCCCGAUGCGUUUCUGUGCUCCGCAAACCGAUUUUCUCACGUCCCAGGCUGAUCUCUCCCUCCCAGGAUGUGGAGCAGCAGCUCCAGCACUGAAAUCAGUUUAAGCUGCUUAAAAAAAAAAUAAUAAAAAAAUAAAAGAAAAGAACGUUUUUAAAGCAUUGAGAUCCCCCUCCACGCACACACACUUUGGGAGGUCAGAACAAAACUGCUUUGAACUGUUUAAAAACAAAUCUGAGUCUUCAUUCAUCUUCAUUAAUGAGAUAUUUAACCAGUUCCUUUUAAUAACUUCUUGGUGCAUAUGCCAAAUGAAAGAAAAAAAAAAAAAAGAAAAGAAAAAGAAAAGAAAAAGAAAAAACACAACAAAACAACAGCACACAACAAACAUACUUGGGAGUCAUUUUCUGCUUUAAAGGCCAUUAUUUCGGGUGCAUUUUCUCCUUAUGCUCCUAAAUGUUGGUUUUUCCCCCCCCUUGCAGUGGUGUAGGGUCCUUCUCACA
Molecule: non-coding RNA, 3798 nt
Organism: Anas platyrhynchos (mallard)
Lineage: Eukaryota; Metazoa; Chordata; Aves; Anseriformes; Anatidae
Source: RefSeq, a predicted model, not a curated record